CUGAAGGUUGAAGAAUUGGAAAAGGAAAUAGCAGAUUCUAGAGAGAAAAACGAGUUCUAUUGAGUUAAAAUUCAGGAACUUAUUUUAUAUAAAAGUUGAUGUGGCAGUCGACUAAGGUAACAGAAAGAGCGGCUGCUGAUACACGUUGAAGCAUAAGCCAAGAAAUAUGAGGAUAAAUACAAGCAGACUGGGGAUGUAGCCUCUAAUUUAACUAUUGAAGAAGCUACAUUUUGUGAUAUUCAGGAGAAGAAAAUGGAAUUAUGUCGGGCAAUUAAAAUGGAAGGAGGCACUGCUGAUAAUGCUCUGAAGCUACAUUAUAACAUAUUUAAUUUUUUGGAGAAUAUAUAUACUUGGCUGUAAGUCCCAUUUUUCUGGCUUUUGCAGGAGCGAGCUGAGAAUAUCCAGUCAAGUCUCAAGGACCUUGUAAAAAGUGUUGAUGAACGCUGUAAACAAUAUGAAUUGCAUGCUCCAAUCUCACUGGUUAAGCUUCCCUUUGGUAUCUCCAUGAACUUAGUAAUCCUCUGGUGUCUCAUCUAGAAAAUAUUAGUGUUUGUGACUUUGGGCUUUAUCAUUUUGUGUCUUACUUGGCAAAAUGUGCCAUUUUGCAUCUCUAGUGAAACAAGAUGUUGUCAUAAUCUUCAAAUAGUUUGGUCACUCUUCAAACAGACAACAUAUGAUCAAACUGUUACUUAACUGUUGUUCUAAAUUUGAUUUUUUUUGCGCACUUCCAUAAUGCACUUGAUCAUGUUUGGAAGACAUGCAAUAAAAUAUCUCUGCAAUAUCUCAUGAUUUGAUCUCAAAAUUAAUAGAGAAAUUCAGGUAAACUAUUGUUUCAUCUCGUGUUCAGAUAUGUGAUUCAUAAAUGUCUUGCAAAUUGUCCAAGUUGUUAUCCUAAUGAAAUAAUUCCUCAUAAGAAGAUGCCUGUAUUUUGGCAAUUCUACAUUACAUCCUUGAUUGUGCUCAAGCCUAUGCAAAAUGAUGACUAGCCUAGGUGAAGGAGCCAUUUUUCUUUAGAUGGAAUGUAAAAAAGGCCCAUGGUUUUAAUGUGAAUCAAAAGACUACAUUCUGUUAUAAUUUUAAAAGGAAUCAUCUCUGAUUCUUUGUUCUUGGUGUAAUAUUUUGCUGCUGGUAUGUGUGAAUUGCAGCCUCGAGAACAAAAUCAAUUCUUUUUGAAUAAAGAAACAAAAUUUGGAAAUCAUGUUUAUUAUUAGAUUAUUUUUGUAAUUGAUGUAUGUAGAAUUUUUGUCACAGAAUGUUGAUAAAUUUUUAUCUGGCUGUUUAUUUGGUGCUAAUUUUUCUUUCAUAAUAAACAGACCUAAAUUGAAGAAAUGGAUUGUAAAUGCUUGUCAUGUAGUUUUCCCUUGAGCACUUGAAAGCUGUAUACAGUUGGGAACCUGGAAUUCAAGGAGCAGCUGACUGGGAUGAAAAUUGGGAUAAAUUUGAAGAUGAAGAUACCUUGAACAAUUAACCUGCUGGAUGUUUUAGACUUUUAGUUCAUUUUCUAUUAUCUUGGUAAAUUUUAUCUGAAAAUGGACCUUUUUAUCCCUUCAUUAAUAAUUCUUCUUCUAAUGCAGGUUUCGCGUUUGUCAAAGAGCUCACUUUGGAUGUGCAAAAUGUUGUAGCCCCUCCAAAACAGACAUAUUUAGUUCAAAAAGUAACCACUCUCACAAAUGAGGAUUUAAGUGCUUCCCCCUCAAAGGAUGCAGCAAAGUCACAGAAGGCUGCAAGUCUAGGUGAACCAGUUCAAGAGAAAGAAUCAACUCAUGACCAUAGGGAGAAUGGUACAGCAAGGAGUCUGCUUGAUACUCCUGCUGAUGCUGGAAGAAGUCCAACAGGGAGCCAGUCAGAUGAACUCCGAGAUUCUCCAUUCAAAGAAAGCAAUAGUGCUGAUAGUCAUCCCACGCUAAAGAAAUCCAUGGGUUUGUUUGCAUUUGUGGAUUUUUACUUGGACCUUCUUUUACUUGGCCUAGCUUUGAUUUCAACCGUCAACUUCCAAACAAUUUUUUUGCAAUGCUUGGUAGUCGGGUGACAUGGAGGUACUGAAAUAUCUGAGGAUAAAAGUGGUGAUGAACAUGGCUGGGGUACAUUUGACACUAAUUAUGAUACAGAAUCUGUUUGGGGCUUUGGUUCUGUUAGUGGCAAGGUACUGGAACACCGAUAAGUCUUUUCCUUUAGUUUGACAUUGACAACGAGAAUCAUUGGCGGUUGUUCCCAGCACCUCAGCUCAGGGGUCAUUUGGAUUUGCAGAUCCUGUUCCUGGCACCCAUGCCAAAUAAUUUUGGGAACUCUCCACGGAAGUUUAGUGAAGGGUCGGAGGACCACUCUUUUGACAGCUUCUUUAGGUUUGAUUCGUUUAGUAUGCAUGACAGUGGAUUAUUCCAUUCUCCACGCCACUCUUGGAAGAUUUGAUUCCAUGAACAGCACUAGAGACCCUGAUCAAAGUUAUGAUUUCCCGUCGAGGUUUGAUUCAUUUAGGGAAUCCAGAGAUUCUGAUCAAAGUGAUGGAUUCUAAAGGUUUGAUUCGUUCGAAGAUUCGGAUCAGAGUCAUGGUUUCUCGCGGUUUGAUUCAUUUAGAGAGACUGAUAACUGUCACAGUUUCUCAUCAAAGUUUGACUCGUUUCGAGAGCCUGAGAACAGUCCCAGGUUCCUAUCAAGUUUUCAUUCAUAAUUCAUUUAGAGACGCCGGAGACUCGGAUCAGGGUCAUGGGUUCUCAAGGUUUGAUGCACUUAAUGCUAAUGACAGUGGAUUCGUUCAGUCCUCUGGCAGUUUCUUAGCUAGGUUUGAUUCCAUACGUGGCUCUGGAGAGACUGAUAAGGGCAAUAGUCGGUUCUUAUCUUUUGACGACUCUGAUCCAUUUGGCUCUACUGGGCCAUUUAAGACGUCAGUAGAGAGAAGCUCCAAGACGAAGUUCAGAUAACUGGAAAGCUUUUUAGUUGGGAAGGGACAUCAUUUUACGCGUGCUCUCCUUCUACAGAACUACUGAAGGCCUCUUUUUCUCAAAAAAUAUUUAUUCGUCGGUGAUAUUUGGUCCUGCAGGUGUGGCGGCCUGAUUCUUCCAUGAGUACAUAGCGUGUGGUAUUUUGAAUUAUUAUUGGUCUGCCUUAAUUUUUAGCCGUGUUUGGUUUUGCUUUUAUAUUCGGUUUUUUUCGUUAUUUUUUGAUCACGACAAAGGGAUCAUGUGUAUUUUUGUUUAAAAUGUGGUAAAUUUUAAAUUUAUUUUGAUUUCAAAAA
Long non-coding RNA from Manihot esculenta (cassava), 3232 nucleotides. RefSeq lists it as uncharacterized. The record is from RefSeq and is a predicted model, not a curated record. The transcript has 6 exons. Lineage: Eukaryota; Viridiplantae; Streptophyta; Magnoliopsida; Malpighiales; Euphorbiaceae.